UGGGGUGUGGCUCAGUGGUAGAGCGCUUGCCUAGCACUGCAAGGCACUGGGUUCAAUCCUCAGCACCACAU
Molecule: non-coding RNA, 71 nt
Organism: Ictidomys tridecemlineatus (thirteen-lined ground squirrel)
Lineage: Eukaryota; Metazoa; Chordata; Mammalia; Rodentia; Sciuridae
Source: Rfam